This 849-nucleotide long non-coding RNA is filed under the name Chinchilla lanigera (long-tailed chinchilla). RNAcentral's name for it is "lncRNA (ENSCLAG00000025152.1)". Lineage: Eukaryota; Metazoa; Chordata; Mammalia; Rodentia; Chinchillidae. The record is from RNAcentral.
GGCGUACCGGGUUGCCCAGCGGGUCCUGGGCGGGGUGGGGGGGAAUGGGGGGGGUGCGGGGAGAGCUAGCUUCUCUUCUGGCGCCGUCCUCCUUCCUUCUUCCGAAUCACCCGCCACGGCUUCUUUCCCAGCCUGCUUUCCGGACCCUGCCUGCAAGACUGUGUCUGGCGCCUGUGCCUCCAAGGGGCGUUCUCAGGUAGCUCUGGGGCCUGUGGUCAUCUUGUGACAUUGGGCAGUACCACCGGGAGAAAGCACCUGCCUCUCUAUUCAGAGACCACUGCGUGCAAAGCUGAAUGCAAACAACAAAGGCUUCCACUCUGGCGGCGGCUGCGUGAUUUUCUUGGAACUUGCCAUUAUGUUUCAGGUCAGAGAUUGAGGUUCCGCGCAGCACACGGACCUUUUAAUAUCAGAAAACAGUGAACCUUGCCCAGUGGUGCUGAAGAUUAUAGACUACAAUUCACACUGUGCUGCUGUGUUGUUCCAGACCAGAUGGCCCUGUCACCCCCACACAACAGGGGGAGGCCCAUUCCUGCAAAGUGCACCCCACACCACUUUAACACCUGUUCCUGAAACAAACCCUGCUGGCCUUGAACUAAAGUUCCAUCUCCCGGAGAGCCUUUGUGAAAAGCACAGGGCAGCUGGUGAGGAUGUCACUCAUCCAAGCAGGCUUCCCAGUGACCUUGCCCACCGAGCAGGGGUCCAUGUGAACUUGGUAAGGGCUCGGUCGCCUGCACAGUGGUGUAGCCUUCCACAAACUCCCUAGCCGAUGGCAGGCCUCCCUUACCAGAUCUCUGCCCCAAACUACAUCACUUCCCUUGUUGCAGGAGGUAAGGAAUUUAAACAGGACCC